Molecule: long non-coding RNA, 1047 nt
Filed under: Homo sapiens (human)
Lineage: Eukaryota; Metazoa; Chordata; Mammalia; Primates; Hominidae
Description: HSALNT0336166
Source: RNAcentral
GGUAGUUGAAUCAUGGAGACAGUUACCCCAUGCUGCUGUUCUCAUGAUAGUGAGUGAUUUCUCAGGAGAUCUGAUGGUUUUAUAAGGGGCUUUCCCCACUUUGCUGAGCUCAGCUCUCAUUCUUCUCUUCCUGCCACCAUGUGAAGAAGGACUUGUUUGCUUCCCUUUCCACCACGAUCAUACACCCAUUCACACGCAGAAGCAGUGGUUCAGAGAAACCUUUAAUCACCUCUUUGCAAUUGCCAAUUCUGCAGAAGCUGGAGAUGCUGGUGUUCAUUUGGUAUCAGGGAUAAAGGGAAGUGGAGGCUGGACACUCACUCGGCGAAUAGAAGACCUGUGGGAACUUCAUCCGUCCUUUGACAUCGUGGUCAACUGUUCAGGCCUUGGAAGCAGACAGCUUGCAGGAGACUCAAAGAUUUUCCCUAACAUCUUUUAUUUUUUUCUGAACAUGAAGAACAACUGAUUUCCUUCUUAAAUCUCUGCUUUCAAGUGUCUGGCCUUUGUGGCUGAGUGUCUGCCUGCUGUGUCUGUGACCCAGAGGAACGAGGCUGCUUUGAGCCCUGUCAUUGCCAGCGUGUGCUUCUUCAGCAGGCAAAGGUUAUGCACAAAGUUUUAGGAUUUUUUUUUUAACUUUUGGGAUUUUAUUUGCUUAGGAAGAAAAAAAAAAGUUUAACAGAAAGGCCAUAGCCCAGGUGGACACAGUUGUAUAGAAGAAAGGCUAUUUUUAAAAAUGACAUAUAUUCUUCCUUUUAUUGAAUAAUGCAUUCAAAUCAACUGAUAUUUGAACCGGUUUUUCUCAAUCAAUUAAAAGCUUUUAGAAAAAAGGAAGAAAAGGAUGGUGGAACAUGUGUCCACUGGGAGUUGUAGUUCUUAGAAACCUGUUUCAGGACUUUCGUAACUUGUCAAAUAUUUGAAAUAAAUGUAGCAUUUUUUUUAUUUCUCUCGUUUUUCUUCUUAAGGGUGUGAAUGAUGGAGACACAUUUGAAACCUGCUUCCUCAGGAUAUCAUUCACUCAAGAAAAGCCAAUUGAGAUCUUUAAGUGGUCCC